GGGGCUAUAGCUCAGGGAUAGAGCGCAUGCUUGGCAUACACGAUGUCCUGGGUUCAAUCCCCAGUACCUGCA
RNAcentral lists this transfer RNA (72 nucleotides) under Camelus bactrianus (Bactrian camel). It matches the Rfam family "tRNA". Rfam says of the family: Transfer RNA (tRNA) molecules are approximately 80 nucleotides in length. Their secondary structure includes four short double-helical elements and three loops (D, anti-codon, and T loops). Further hydrogen bonds mediate the characteristic L-shaped molecular structure. tRNAs have two regions of fundamental functional importance: the anti-codon, which is responsible for specific mRNA codon recognition, and the 3' end, to which the tRNAs corresponding amino acid is attached (by aminoacyl-tRNA synthetases). tRNAs cope with the degeneracy of the genetic code in two manners: having more than one tRNA (with a specific anti-codon) for a particular amino acid; and 'wobble' base-pairing, i.e. permitting non-standard base-pairing at the 3rd anti-codon position. Lineage: Eukaryota; Metazoa; Chordata; Mammalia; Artiodactyla; Camelidae. RNAcentral also lists the same sequence under 1 other name. The record is from Rfam by way of RNAcentral.